Molecule: long non-coding RNA, 214 nt
Filed under: Trifolium pratense (red clover)
Lineage: Eukaryota; Viridiplantae; Streptophyta; Magnoliopsida; Fabales; Fabaceae
Description: long non-coding RNA (TPRA_LNC001987)
Source: RNAcentral
UUGAACCGUUGAAGUUGUUAUGUUUGAAUAAAUUGAAAGUAUGAAUUUUGAUUGAUAAUUUCAUGAAUUGGUUGUUGUUUUGUUGUUAAUUUGAGUAUGCUGAGUUAGGAUUAAUGAGAACUAAACAUAUGAAUCCAUUUAUGUGAGUUUUGGGGGUUAUGGGAUACUAUGAUAGUGGGUUAUAUUUUGUGAGAUGAUUUGUUUGAGUUGGUGC